This 515-nucleotide ribosomal RNA is filed under the name uncultured bacterium. Its description in RNAcentral is "partial 16S ribosomal RNA". It matches the Rfam family "Bacterial small subunit ribosomal RNA", at positions 28 to 523 of the family's 1533-position model. The record is from RNAcentral.
GAUGAACGCUGGCGGCGUGCCUAAUACAUGCAAGUCGAGCGAAUGGAUUAAGAGCUUGCUCUUAUGAAGUUAGCGGCGGACGGGUGAGUAACACGUGGGUGACCUGCCCAUAAGACUGGGAUAACUCCGGGAAACCGGGGCUAAUACCGGAUAACAUUUUGAACCGCCUGGUUCGAAAUUGAAAGGCGGCUUCGGCUGUCACUUAUGGAUGGACCCGCGUCGCAUUAGCUAGUUGGUGAGGUAACGCCUCACCAAGGCAACGAUGCGCAGCCGACCUGAGAGGGUGAUCGGCCACGCAGGGACUGAGACACGGACCAGACGCCUACGGGCAGCAGCAGUAGGGAAUCUUCCGCAAUGGACGAAAGUCUGACGGAGCAACGCCGCGUGGGUGAUGAAGGCUUUCGGGUCGUAAAACUCUGUUGUUAGGGAAGAACAAGUGCUAGUUGAAUAAGCUGGCACCUUGACGGUACCUAACCAGAAAGCCACGGCUAACUACGUGCCAGCAGCCGCGGUAA